Molecule: ribosomal RNA, 501 nt
Filed under: uncultured bacterium
Lineage: Bacteria
Description: partial 16S ribosomal RNA
Rfam family: Bacterial small subunit ribosomal RNA
Source: RNAcentral
AUUGAACGCUGGCGGGAUGCUUUACACAUGCAAGUCGAACGGCAGCACGGACUUCGGUCUGGUGGCGAGUGGCGAACGGGUGAGUAAUGUAUCGGAACGUGCCCAGUCGUGGGGGAUAACGUAGUGAAAAUUACGCUAAUACCGCAUACGAUCUAUGGAUGAAAGCGGGGGAUCGCAAGACCUCGCGCGAUUGGAGCGGCCGAUAUCAGAUUAGGUAGUUGGUGGGGUAAAGGCCCACCAAGCCAACGAUCUGUAGCUGGUCUGAGAGGGACGACCAGCCACACUGGAACUGAGACACGGUCCAGACUCCUACGGGAGGCAGCAGUGGGGAAUUUUGGACAAUGGGCGAAAGCCUGAUCCAGCCAUUCCGCGUGCAGGAUGAAGGCCCUCGGGUUGUAAACUGCUUUUGUACAGAACGAAAAGGUUUCUACUAAUACUAGGAGCUCAUGACGGUACUGUAAGAAUAAGCACCGGCUAACUACGUGCCAGCCGCCGCGGUAA